Ruditapes philippinarum (Manila clam) is the source of this 511-nucleotide long non-coding RNA. RefSeq lists it as uncharacterized. The transcript has 3 exons. NCBI's taxonomy places the organism in Eukaryota, Metazoa, Mollusca, Bivalvia, Venerida, Veneridae. The record is from RefSeq and is a predicted model, not a curated record.
GGGUAUGGUGCUGGAAUUACUAGACCGUUCGUUAAUUGUGAAAACCCCGUAGAUGGACAAUAUGGUCAAUGAACGGAAUGGUCACAGUGCUUCACCACAUGUGAUGAGGGUACGAAGUAUCGAACCCGGCGUUGUUACAGUCCACUUCCGGCCAAUGGAGGAGCUGAAUGUGUUGGGGCACACUUGGAAUCUCAGACUUGCAACCUAGAGCCUUGUGCAAUCAAAGAUGGUUUCACAGACUGGUCUGAAUGGAGCGCUUGUCAAGCCUUCGAUGCUGGCUAUUGUACCGGAUUCUCCGAGAGGUCUCGAUCGUGUUCGAACCCGGCAGCGAGGUUCGGCGGUCUGUCGUGCGAAGGAAACACCCGCGAGAUACAGAGAUGCACCGUUUGCUAGUCCACGAGCAUUAUAGUAUUACUAUAAUAAGCUUUCGUCUCCUAUGGAAACUUGAAAUCCAAUUUACUAUUUAUAUAGUGUAUAUAUUGAAUAAAUUGCAAAUGAAACAUUAUUUCAA